Molecule: ribosomal RNA, 547 nt
Filed under: Saturnispora silvae
Lineage: Eukaryota; Fungi; Ascomycota; Pichiomycetes; Pichiales; Pichiaceae
Description: partial large subunit ribosomal RNA
Rfam family: Eukaryotic large subunit ribosomal RNA
Source: RNAcentral
GCCUCAGUAGCGGCGAGUGAAGCGGCAAAAGCUCCAUUUUGAAAGCUCUUCGGAGCGUUGUAGAUUGGUGGGAAGCUAACGGCUGGUGGGAGACCAAGUCCUCUGGAACGAGGCGCCAUAGAGGGUGAGAGCCCCGUGUGUCUCCUUUACCGACCUUUCAGCCCCCUCCGCGGAGUCGAGUUGUUUGGGAAUGCAGCUCUAAGUGGGUGGUAAAUUCCAUCUAAGGCUAAAUAUUGGCGAGAGACCGAUAGCGAACAAGUACAGUGAUGGAAAGAUGAAAAGCACUUUGAAAAGAGAGUGAAACAGUACGUGAAAUUGUUGAAAGGGAAGGGUAUUUGGCCCGACAUGGGUCCUAUGCACCGUUGCCUCUCGUGGGCGGCGCUCUGCUUGGGCCUGGGCCAGCGUCAGUUUGGAGGGGGCGAGAAGGGUUUUGGGGAGUUGCCUAGCAAUUCCCCUUUGCUAGAUUGCCCCACACCGGACUGAGGACCGCCAUCUGUAGGAUGCUGGCACAACGGCCAAAUACCGCCCGUCUUGAAACACGGGACCA